This 248-nucleotide small RNA is filed under the name Pseudomonas sp. GV071. RNAcentral describes it as "Pseudomonas sRNA P24". Lineage: Bacteria; Pseudomonadati; Pseudomonadota; Gammaproteobacteria; Pseudomonadales; Pseudomonadaceae. The record is from RNAcentral.
UUGCGCAACUCCUAUCUCUAUCAGCAAUCUUCGCAAUCCUCUGUCGCGCGCGGCGGCCUACACUUUCUCCCAAGUUAAAUGACCCGGACGCAAGUCCAACUGGCCCGCCCAAUCAGGCGCACCAGAGCCGCCGACCCCACCGGGUCGCCCACGGCACCCGGGUCCGUCCUGCCCAACCAGGUGGACGAGACAGGCGGCGACACAAUCGCCAGCAGCGGACGAGAAAAUCCAAGGGGCCCACAAGGGCC